UACGAAGGGGGCUAGCGUUGCUCGGAAUUACUGGGCGUAAAGCGCACGUAGGCGGCUUCCUAAGUCGGAGGUGAAAUCCUGGAGCUCAACUCCAGAACUGCCUUCGAUACUGGAGAGCUUGAGUCCGGGAGAGGUGAGUGGAACUGCGAGUGUAGAGGUGAAAUGCGUAGAUAUGCGGAGGAACACCGAUGGCGAAGGCAAUCCCCUGGGCCUGCACUGACGCUCAUGCACGAAAGCGUGGGGAGCAAACAGG
This 253-nucleotide ribosomal RNA is filed under the name uncultured bacterium. Its description in RNAcentral is "partial 16S ribosomal RNA". It matches the Rfam family "Bacterial small subunit ribosomal RNA", at positions 524 to 776 of the family's 1533-position model. The record is from RNAcentral.